GGAAUAUUGGACAAUGGGGGCAACCCUGAUCCAGCAAUGCCGCGUGUGUGAAGAAGGCUUUCGGGUUGUAAGGCACUUUAAGUCGUGAAGAAACGUGUCGUGUUAAUAGCACGGCAAAUUGACAUUAGCGACAGAAUAAGCACCGGCUAACUCCGUGCCAGCAGCCGCGGUAAUACGGAGGGUGCACGCGUUAAUCGGAAUUACUGGGCGUAAAGCGCGCGUAGGUGGUUUGUUAAGUUAGAUGUGAAAGCCCCGGGCUCAACCUGGGAAUGGCAUUUAAGACUGGCAGGCUAGAGUAUGGUAGAGGUAAGUGGAAUUUCAGGUGUAGCGGUGAAAUGCGUAGAGAUCUGAAGGAACACCAGUGGCGAAGGCGACUUACUGGGUCAUUACUGACACUGAGGUGCGAAAGCGUGGGUAGCAA
Molecule: ribosomal RNA, 421 nt
Filed under: uncultured bacterium
Lineage: Bacteria
Description: bacterial SSU rRNA
Rfam family: Bacterial small subunit ribosomal RNA
Source: RNAcentral